GCAAACUUGGUCAUUUAGAGGAAGUAAAAGUCGUAACAAGGUUUCCGUAGGUAAGUGGAAGCUUGACAUCUUACAUCCCCCCAUAGUUCCUUGAAUAACGUGCUGACUUUUUCCCUUUUAGGUGAACCUGCGGAAGGAUCAUUACCGAGUGUGGCCCUUUUUAUGAGGGUGCCUCCCGUCCUUUGCGGGCCCUUAGGGGCUUUUUGACUUUGCUUCGGCGGGGUUGCCCCGCCGGAACCCCCUCAAGAAAAUCUCGAAAAUAACCGUUCAGUCCGAGGGCUUGUGAAUAAACAAAACUUUCAACAACGGAUCUCUUGGUUCUGGCAUCGAUGAAGAACGCAGC
Molecule: unclassified non-coding RNA, 343 nt
Filed under: uncultured fungus
Lineage: Eukaryota; Fungi
Description: partial contains small subunit ribosomal RNA, internal transcribed spacer 1, and 5.8S ribosomal RNA
Rfam family: Eukaryotic small subunit ribosomal RNA (bases 1-144)
Source: RNAcentral